GAAGUCAACCGGAUGAUCGCGGGGACAAGUACCGAAAGGUCGUCUCUGAGGAAAGUCCGAGCUCCAUAGGGCAGGGUGCCGGGUAAUCCCCGGUGGGGGUAACCCCAAGGAAAGUGCAACAGAGAUAUACCGCCGCUGUAAGCGGUAAGGGUGGAAAGGCGAGGUAAGAGCUCACCGGCAGUCAGGUAACUGGCUGGCCAUGUAAACCCCACCUGGAGCAAGACCAAAUAGAGGAACAAUGGAGCGGCCCGCUCUGUUCCCGGGUUAGGUCGCUAGAGGCUGCCGGUAACGGCAGUCCCAGAUAGAUGAUCAUCACCUCGCAAGAGGUACAGAACUCGGCUUACAGGUUGACUUCCAAA
Molecule: RNase P RNA, 359 nt
Filed under: Peptococcaceae bacterium
Lineage: Bacteria; Bacillati; Bacillota; Clostridia; Eubacteriales; Peptococcaceae
Description: RNase P RNA component class A
Rfam family: Bacterial RNase P class A
About the family: Ribonuclease P (RNase P) is a ubiquitous endoribonuclease, found in archaea, bacteria and eukarya as well as chloroplasts and mitochondria. Its best characterised activity is the generation of mature 5'-ends of tRNAs by cleaving the 5'-leader elements of precursor-tRNAs. Cellular RNase Ps are ribonucleoproteins.
Source: RNAcentral